UACGGAGGGUGCGAACGUUUAAUCGGAAUCACUGGGCGUAAAGCGCGCGUAGGCGGUCCGUUAAGUGGGAUGUGAAAUCCCCCGGGCUUAACCUGGGAAUUGCAUUUCAAACUGGCGGACUAGAGUGCGGUAGAGGGAGGUAGAAUUUCCUGUGUAGCGGUGAAAUGCGUAGAUAUAGGAAGGAAUACCAGUGGCGAAGGCGGCCUCCUGGAUCGACACUGACGCUGAGGCGCGAAA
RNAcentral lists this ribosomal RNA (237 nucleotides) under uncultured bacterium. RNAcentral's name for it is "partial 16S ribosomal RNA". It matches the Rfam family "Bacterial small subunit ribosomal RNA", at positions 524 to 758 of the family's 1533-position model. The record is from RNAcentral.